Molecule: ribosomal RNA, 637 nt
Filed under: uncultured bacterium
Lineage: Bacteria
Description: bacterial SSU rRNA
Rfam family: Bacterial small subunit ribosomal RNA
Source: RNAcentral
UGCAAGUCGAACGGUAACAUUUCUAGCUUGCUAGAAGAUGACGAGUGGCGGACGGGUGAGUAAUGCUUGGGAACUUGCCUUUGCGAGGGGGAUAACAGUUGGAAACGACUGCUAAUACCGCAUAAUGUCUACGGACCAAACGGGGCUUAGGCUCCGGCGCAAAGAGAGGCCCAAGUGAGAUUAGCUAGUUGGUAAGGUAACGGCUUACCAAGGCGACGAUCUCUAGCUGUUCUGAGAGGAAGAUCAGCCACACUGGGACUGAGACACGGCCCAGACUCCUACGGGAGGCAGCAGUGGGGAAUAUUGCACAAUGGGGGAAACCCUGAUGCAGCCAUGCCGCGUGUGUGAAGAAGGCCUUCGGGUUGUGAAGCACUUUCAGUUGUGAGGAAAAGUUAGUAGUUAAUACCUGCUAGCCGUGACGUUAACAACAGAAGAAGCACCGGCUAACUCCGUGCCAGCAGCCGCGGUAAUACGGAGGGUGCGAGCGUUAAUCGGAAUUACUGGGCGUAAAGCGCACGCAGGCGGUUCGUUAAGCUAGAUGUGAAAGCCCCGGGCUCAACCUGGGAUGGUCAUUUAGAACUGGCAGACUAAAGUCUUGGAGAGGGGAGUGGAAUUCCAGGUGUAGCGGUGAAAUGCG